RNAcentral lists this long non-coding RNA (26057 nucleotides) under Erythranthe guttata (spotted monkey flower). RNAcentral's name for it is "long non-coding RNA (EGUT_LNC000024)". The record is from RNAcentral. Lineage: Eukaryota; Viridiplantae; Streptophyta; Magnoliopsida; Lamiales; Phrymaceae.
GUAAAUUUUUGCAACCCUAAAUAAAUUUGGUAUUGGGUUUUUUUUGUAGGUCGGAUGGAAUUUAAGCGCAGCAAUCGACGCCCUUACCUCUUUUUUUCUUUUCAUCUUCAAACAAAAUUUUAUUACUGUUCUUAAAUUUCUGAGGCUCUUCGAUCCUCUAUGAUUGUACUAUGUGAAACCAUACCUUGUUUUUAAAUGUAAUGUUUUCAUUAAUCUUAGAACUGAAAUUUGUGCUGUAUUCGUGUGUAAUUUUUUAUAUUUAAUUUUGAAUUUUGCCGAGGGGGAAGUUGCUACACAUGAAUUUUAAAUUGCUCUGGAUUCAAAUUUGGUUGAACUGAAAUGUAGGGCCGGAAGCAAGAACUGGUAACACAUGUAUACUAAGGUGAAUAUCCUACGGUUGUUCGUUGGUUCUAGACGCAGUUGUUAAGGGAUUUUUGAUACUUAGUUUUUGUUGUUGAUAAAGUUUAUUUGAACAAUAAACUUUUGGCCAUAUAAGUUUUGUUACGAGGUUUAAGUAACUGUCGGUUUUUGGUUUUUGCUUUAUCACUAUUACUAACGCAAUUUGGUUCUUGUUCUAUGAAACACAAUGUUUCGAAACCGUGAUUAGGGUUAGGUUCAGAGCUGUCGAAGAAGGUACGUUCACACCAACUUGCAUAAUUAUGGUCCACAAAUCAAAUUCUCAGGUUAUCUGGUUCAUUGCUGCUCGUUGGAGCAAAGCUUACAUCGUAUAAACUAUGCACGUACACUUCAAAUGAGAUAUUACCGGUCAACAUAGAGUUUCUACUUUCUACGUGCUGCUCUGAAAAUCUUAGUCAAUAAGUGGAUGCAUUAACUUCCGAAGAUUUCAAUCUCGGCUAGAAACAUACUUCCCAAACGAUUGAACUGUGUAGUCAUUCAUUUGCCGAUUUUUAUCGUUGUUGAAGGUGUUCAGUCGCUGGUCGUAUCAUCGUUGUGAAUAGAUUUCGGUAAUGCCAGUCUUUGAAUUUUAAAGCUUAGUAGGUACAUAUUGAAAGCUUCUUGCAGCAUCCCGCCAUUAAAAUGGACAUGAAUCGGUAAGCACGUACAUGAUGUUUAAAAACUUUUUUUUUUCCUUUGUUAUACAUGACAUGGUUCCGAUUGUGAAAUCUUCGAAUAUAUUGUCCAUUUCAGUUUUAUGUAAGUUUGUAGCUAAUAGACUUCCUUAAUUUACACUAUAGACAGAAUUGAAAAAUUACAAGCUCGACAUUUUUUAUGAAAGCCUUGUGAAUUUACUAUGAGAUGAUGAUCUUCGAACCUUUUUGUUUCUCUGUUGGAGUAAUAGUCGUUUUGUUGUCUGCCGGUCUUUAUGUCAGCACCUGAAGUGAACUUGCUUAGAAACUUUAUUCUCCAAUUUCUCUGUGUUUGCUCAAGUCAAUUGGCAGCCUGAGUUGAUGCAGUCUGUUAAAAAACUUGAACCACUUCGCACUUCUCUGAUUCCCAUAAUUAAGGACAAAAAACCAAAGUAUAAGAGCCGAUGCGUUCUCCGACUGAGUUUAUCUUCAUUAGGUGAGUUAUCUCUGGUUUGGUUCUCUCAUAUUCCAGCGUACAUCAAGUGUGACAUGAGCCCCUGUUUUAUUUUAAAACAUAUCUAUAACCAUAAACAUGAUCUCCACUGUGUUUUCCCAUUUCUUUUUCCGACUCUUCGUUUAUAGUCUGCCGAUUUUUUUUUUUUAAUUAUAGUCUGCGGAACUUAAAGUGGACAAGUUUGAUGGGACUGAUUGUGAUUAUGUAGGAUAUGGUUGCAGCAGCUAUGCAGUCAUGUAUUACAAGUGAUUGGUGAUUAUAUAUGAAUUUAUGGAUAUUCAUUAAUAUUCAGGUCACUAACAUAAGGGAAAGCAAUUUUACAGUAAUGCCAUUACAAAAUUACAAUAACAAAACUUAGAGUGGAAGAAAAAACUUUACAUCUGUGUCAAAGUGAAAGCAAAUGUAAUCAUCCCCCCUUUACAACCCACCCACUGCCAUUGCUUGUGUCUAUAUACUAAUACCAGUUUUAGUCUCUAAUACCACCUCAAAACUUCUGAUUUUGUCCUGCCCAAAAACAAUCUCACAGAGAGAGAGAGAGAGAUCUAGAGAGAGAGAGAGAGAUGAAACUAUCUACUAACCUCUCUAACCACCAUACUUGUGAGAAUGAGUUUUUUUCUUGAAAGCUGAUUUAGUGAAGAGCAAACAAGCCAUUACAAGGCCCACACCCACUAGCCCUCCCAGCACAAUUGCAAUUAUCUUCUCUGUAUUAAUCUUCCCUGUCCCUACACCCAAUCAAAUAAACACUUCAGACAAAACAAUCUUAAUCUUCAUAAUAUAUUUAUGCCUCGUUUGAUUGGCAAGAUAAGAUUAAAUAAUCUAAUGAGACCCAAUUAUUUUAUUGGAGCUUGAAAGGUGCAACAAAAAAAACUCAUUAAAAGGCAAGAUAAACCAUGAUUAUAUAAUUUUGGCGGGUCGACCCGGCAAGUUAUUGAGGAUACCAAACAUCAAAUUAAGUCCAACUAUUUAGUUAAUCAUGGCUUAUCUUGACAACCAAACGGGACCUUAUAAUAUUAAUAUAUCCAGGAAAUGGAAACACAAUUAAAUCCCACCCCGAUUAAAAAAGAACCCGCAUCCCAGCACAUAUUGGGGGAAAGUAACCAUAGACGUCGACAUUCAACCAUCUUCACUAAAAUCUUUAGCUGUCAUUUUCAGUUUUCACUUUCAUGUUUCAAAAUAUUUUAAGGGCAAAUUACAAGGAAUCCUUGAUCUAAAGCCUAAUUACGAAAAAAAAUCCUCACUGUUUGCAUAAUUACGACCACUUCCCGAGCCCUAACAGAAUGUGGUUAUUGUCUAAACUACUCGGGCGUUAAAAUAAUUAAAUGAAAGAGAAAAAAAAGGUCUUAUAUUCAAUGUAAAACCUUACACGGAACACCUUCUUCCAUAAAAACGGCUAGUUAAGAAUAAAAAAAAGAAAAAAAAUUGUUUAAAAAGAACUAUAUAUAAAAAAAAAAAAAAAAGAAGAAGAAUGAUUUUAAGAACCUUACAGUUAUACUCCUAAGGUAUAAUGUAUAUUUCAUGGAAUCUAUUUGAUUAUCUGCGAGAGUAAAUUCGUCUUACGAAUAAUACCUCAAUGCUCAUAAUUAUGCAAACAAUAAGGGUUUUUGUUUUUUCUCGUAAUUAGGCCUAACUUAGGGUGUCCUUGUAAUUUGCCCUAAUUCUAAUUAGAACAUAAAAAUUCAAAAUAAUAUUUAGCUUUCAAAUCUUGUAAACACCAAAAAUUUGAAGAGUUUUCAAAUGUUAAUUCCGAAAAUAAUUCUAUGAUCAUUAAUUUAAUUAUAUUACAUUUAAAUUUAUUUACCUGAUGAAGGUGAAAUCGGUUGUUGGUUGUCGGCCGGAACGCCUCUGGGAUUAUAAGAGUAGCUAAUGUAGCAGCGUUGAAGAUAAAUCUGUGCAGCAAUGGAGCUCCCGCAUUCAGAUUUAGCCCUGUCGAUCGCGUUUUUCACGCAGUUCACACAGUCGCCGCCGCCUAAAUCACCUUCGCACUGACCCAACACAUACACCGACUGAUACACCGCCGCGUAAUACCCACCGUUCCCACUCCCUACGCCUUUGACUAUCUCCUCAAACCCCAACUCCAGCCUGUCACCAAACCCGGCCCCACUCGCCCGAGUCGACCCGCACACCUUGUACAGCAACUCGGUCCCACUCACCUGCCUGAAUCCGGCGAUCUCGUACCUCAAAUAGCAUCCGCCUAAUUGGACUCUGGCAGCGAUUGCUCCGCCGCAGAGCUUCUGCGCGAAAUCCGGUGUCCUCUUCACGCACCUGCUGCAGUCUUCGUUCGAGAGAUCGCCUCUGCAUUGGAAGAGGCCGGUGAUGGACGACGGCGGCGAUCCGGAGGUUGUUUUGAAGAAUUUCGCGGCGGAGGAUUGGGUGAUUAAUGUGUCGAGCAGAUUCGUCAGUGCUUGCUUGUACGUCCCGCCGGAGUCCUGGAAGUUCUGGUCGGCGCAGCCUUUGAACACCAAGUUUGUGUUGUCGGCGGCGGCGGCGGCGAUGGUGGAUAACAGAGCUGUGAGUAUGAGGAGUAGCAGCGGCUGAGAUAAUGGACCCAUUUUUUGAAUGAUUUUUUUUUUGUGUGGAGUUCGUGAAGAUUGUGCGCUGAUUUCUUGGGGAAGAAUUUCUGUAGGGUCCUCUUGAGAUAUAUAUUUUUUUUUUGAUAAAUUCUUGAGAUAUAUAUAUAUAUAUCUGGUGAUAGAGUAUUUAUUGGAUUUUGAUUUGGGUAAGAACAAGAAUUUUUGGGGUGUGUGUGAAAAUUUUGUGGGUGGAAGAUCUGCUCUGCCAAAUUCACAGUUGCCAGCCACUGUUUACAUAUUGUAUUAAUCAUGUCGACUAUAUAAUAAUACUUAAUAACGGCUUAAUCCCACUUUCCACCCUUGAAAUAUACAAUUUCGACACUUUGCAUCCUGAAAAUAAAUAAAUAGCGCUUUGCACCCUCGAAACACCAAUUUUUACGCGAAUAAACUUAAUUGAAUAUGUUUAAUGCUAUUUAAAAGUUAUAUUUUUUAUCAUAAAAAAUAUUUCAUGAAAGAAAAAAAUUCUUCAACUAUUACGUUAUCAACUUAUCUGAAAAUUAUAUUUUGUUUUUAAAUAUUUCUAUCUAAUAUUUCCACCAAUUGCAAGAAAAGAUCUAUCGAAUAAUUUAGUGAUAAAAGUUUAAUUGAUUUUAUUUUCUACAAAAAUAUAAAAAAAAAUUCAAUUCUCGGUGUAAUUUUAAUUUUUUUUUCUCGCAUUUUAUGCACUCGAAAUUAGGUUGGAGAUUGAAGAAAUAUCAAUUUAAUUUGUUAUUUUACCCCGCGGGAAAAAAACCAAUAAAAAAUGAGCUAUUCUUUAUUAUUCAGUUAAGGGCGCAUUAUGAAUGGUUUAUGAUGUUUUGAGAGUGCAAAGUGCUAUUAUUGUUUUUUAAGGGUUUAAAUUAUUAAAGGUUCCAUUUCAGAGGUGCAAAAUGUGAGUAAGCCCUUAAUAACAGUAAUUUAUCACUAAUUGUUGGAUUAGUUUACAUGAGGAAUACGAAGUUUUUGUAUGCCCGUGGGCCUAACUUGGAUUGUUAUCGGGCUGAAAUUUUAUCGGCCCAAUAUUUAAAAACCCUUAAAUGUCUUCUUUACCCUUCACGAGUGCGUGAAAUUACUCUAUUGCCAGAAAAACAUUGCACUGCUGGCCUUCCCUCACAUUUGGUUCUCUUCUCCACGCUUCUCGCGCGUGGACUACACCUCCAUUUCCACUCAUUUAUUCAGCACUCUCAGAACCAGUGUACCUCCGUUACAACACAUACAGAGAAGCGGAUUGUGAACAUUGGUAUGCCCUUUCUUCCAUUAUUGUUUCUGUGUAUCAAUUUUUUGCAUUUCUUCGUCAGAUUAUCCAGCACAUAUGUCUUACCUGCUUUCGCUUCGUAUCAAAUUGCAUUUUUGUUUAAAUUUAAUUGUUUGUAAGUCGCUCGAAGCGAUUCCUCAGCGUAAUUGGAAAGUUUUCGACGUACAUUUUAUGGAAAUAUGUUUAUGUUCAACUUUUUUUUGGGGAUUUAGGGUUCAUUUUUCAAUACCUUGCUUUUAAUGGAAGAGAUGCGUUCGCUUUUUUCUUGAGUAGGAAGAGUGAGAUUUUGACAAGAGAACCCGCAACUAUUCGAAAUUGAAAAAUGUGCGAACAGUGACCGGCCCGUAUUAUACGGUGUGGUUCAUAGUUUCGACCGAACCGUGACCAUCUAUAGACAUUAUCAAUAUAUUUGAAAUAUUAAAAUAAUUUUGACCACUUCUAGUUAUAUUUUGUUUACAUUACGCUUGCGCUGAUAUACAGUAUCAGUUGAAUUUGGCGCUAAAAUAAAUAAUCCAAUGUGUCUUUAUAGUGACUUGCCUAAUAUCAAGUUCGAUUAUGGUUUGUGAAAAGUAUGAAAUCUUUAUUUUUUGCUUUCGGGCCUCAUUAUGAAAAUUUAUGUACUGCUAGAACUACAUAUUGACGUUUCUUUUCAUGGCUAGUCAUUGUAUGUAAAAGUAAAAAUAAUGUAUCAGUAAUGAGGGCCAAUAUAGUACGUUUGUAUGUACGACUUUUUUGAUAAAAUUCUGAAGUACGCAGUUCCGACUGAUGGAGGAAAUUGUUAUACAGUAAUUUUGGUUUACAAGUAUUUAUGGUACUAUAUUACCGGUUAACCUGGAGAAGAGGGUGGUUUAGAUCGAAUAGGAUGAACUUGUGCCAUUCUUGCCACCUAAGUUGCAUGGACCUUAUCUGGCAUUGGAAUUUCUAGUUGUUCUCUUAACUCUAGAAAUUAACUACUAUCUUAGAGAAUUCAUGUUUAUUGAACAUCGGGUGUGGUUAUUGAAGUAAUAUUUUGGUGGGAAGUUCGCAGAUUAUGCUCCUAUAUUUUAACUUAUUCGUGAGAGAGAGAGAUCAAGUGGUGCCAGUGAGAGGCUAUCCUUCAUAAUUUUCCGCAGUUUGUAUUGGUUUUUGAAGCCAAUCACAUUGCGUAGUGCCCUUGUUAUUGAACUAAAUUUAACCUCAAACUGAGUGCAUUGAUGAAGUUAUAUUACAGGCUCGAAGUGGUAACUGCUAUAUGGCAAGAUAAGCUUUGACAUUCUGCAUGAACCAGUGAUGAUUAUUUUAUAUUGUGGUGUUUCUCGUGCUUUUACUGCAUAUACUAGGCCAGUUGAUGAUUUUUUUCCCAUUACAAGUUUAGCAGAUUUUUGUUUUUCAGUGCUACCAUUAUUCUGCUUUCUGACAAAUGGAAGAUAUUUUGUUUAUUGGAAGGGUCAGAAUCUGUAAUAUAAAAGCUGUUGAAAUGAGCAAUAAGGAAACAAAAGAAAGAGUUGCAAAUGCCUUUCGUGCUAUGAAGGCUAUUGGAAUCUCCGAAGAUAAGGUGAAGCCAGUACUGAAGUCUUUGCUAAAAUUGUACGAUAAAAAUUGGGCGCUUAUUGAACAGGAAAAUUAUAGAGCUCUUGCUGAUGUGAUAUUUGAGAGAGAUGAAUCGAAAGUAUGUGUUGCAGGCUAAAUUCACGUACCCUUCUUGUUUAGUUGGUAACUACUGUAAAUCAAUCUGAGAUAUUAAUUCUACAUUAUUAUCUUUCAGGCAGAAGAGCUUCCAAAGAAGGUUGUGAAUAAUGAAGUACGUCAUCUGCUCCGUAAUUGUAUUUAGCAAACCAAUAUUUUAAUAGUAGUUGCACUUUUAUAAUUGAUAUCUUUUUCGCCUACGUUAGCCCAAUUACUAAGGCAACUUAAGCGAUAGUAAUUUGAUUCGUAUCAUUUUAUCAGGUAGCAGAGCAGUCAAAGAAGAUUGAGAGUGCUCAAGUAGGUGAUCUAUUACAGCUACUAAUCCCUUUUUUUUUACCAAGUUUUUGGUGAUAAAUUUUUAUAUACAAUAUCAGUUUUCACUGUUAUUUUUCUUAAAAGGUGUGGCACUAAACAAUGACUUAAUCCUCCUAAAUAGACAGAGGACAAUUUGGAAGAAGAAGUUCAUGCAACUGAAGAGCCAGAACAACCAUUAAAAAGGCUGCGACGUAGAUACCAAGAUGGCCAAACUUCCUCUUUGAAUACGUCUAAUGCCGGAAAGCAAAGAACUGCACCUGUAAAGUCUAAAAAAGAACUGGAUGGGGCUAAUACCCCCAAGUUAAACGAAAAAGAAGUCAUGGUGGAGUCACCUAAGCACAACGAAGAAAACACAACAAUUCAUACACGGGCUGCCACAUCAGAAUCAGUCUGUAAAAGUAAAGGAAAACAACCUAUUUCUCCCGAACCCUUGGUUGUUCAUGAGAGAUGUGAUCCAAGCGGGCCCAGUAGCACCACUGGAAGUCAGCGAAAGACCCGAUCAAGAAUUGAAUACGGAUCACAGUCUCAUCCAAUGAGGCUCAGAGAAAGAGGGAAAGGAGUUGUCUAUGUUCACACUCCAUCCAGGAAGAAGCGGCGAGCUCCUGAAAGUUCAUCCCAUGCUGUACCUCUAAAAGAGUCUGAGACUGAGCCAAGCAUUCCUUUGUCACCUAAAAACAAGAGCAAUGCAAGUUGUGAUUUAAUUAAGCCUAAAGAUGAGCCAAUCACUAGUGACGUGCCGAGUUUAGAGGUUCCUGGUGCGAACGUUCAUCCGGGUAUGCUUUUGCUUUUCUGUCUGCACACUUCAGAGUUUAUUCAAAUAUUACGUUCUUCUAUUUGUUGGAUUGUCAAUAAUCAUCACGAUGUGUGAUUCAAGGAUCUUCUUUUGCUAUAGUUAACAAUUUAUCUAUGUAGUUGGUACGUUUUAGACAACUGUUGGUCCUUGGGGAUAUGCAAUUGUUAUUAAGGAGAGUAUGGUUAUUAUAGUUUUUCUAGUUGAAUAUUUUAUUUUCAACUUUUAUUGCGGAAUGUGGAGGUAUGUAUUUAUCGUGUUACUCCUAUGUCAUUCCUUGGAGUUCCCCUAUCGUGUCUUACUUGAGAUGUCUAGUUAUAUUUGUAGAAGGUUAUUGUACCAAGUAUAAUAAUAACACAUUGAUGAUUUAUCACACAAUAUUAUUUCCUAUAAUGUUACUUUAUCUUAGUGUUACAGAAUUUUUUAAUGCCUUAUCCAUUCUGACAAUUCUAGUUCAAAAUUUACAGAUACAUCAAAUGAAGGAGAUUCAUCGAAUAGAGGAAACUGUAGUUCUGAACCAUCAGAAACGGAAUCUGUGAGUGAAGAGGAAACAUCUACCGACUCUUCCAUGCUAAAUGAAUCACGAUACAAUAAUGAGAUGGCAAUGGUCUCAGGUGCACGGUCUUCUAAUCUAGAGAUUGCUUCCUCGACUUGUGGAGAGGUGAAAAUCUAUUUGACCUGUGGCUUCGCUUCUGAAAGUGCUGACUUCCAUAUGCCUAGUCUUGAAGCAGUUCUAAAAUCUGUUGAAGAUAAAUGUCUUCGAUCACACAAAACUUCGGACCCGUACAUUUCUAUGACGAAACUUAUGACAGAAACGUGCCAAUGCUUUCUGAAGUUAGGAACUGACUCCAGUAGUCAAUCACCAAAAACCCUUAAUGUGACUCCAACCAUUGAUUCAGUGAGUAAAUCUUCUGAAAUGGAUGCUGUAGGUGAAAAAUGCCGUUCUAGUACCAGGAUACCUCAGCCCAAAAUACAAAAUUGCAACGGCACAAAUAAUGGACCACUGCCGAACAAGAUAGAUGCUGGAGAUGAAAUAAUGACAAAUAUGCAAAACGAAGAAAAUUGUGCCGAAGAAAUUGAUGGACCGAGCUUGGAAGUUGCUCCUGAAAUUACAAGGUCACUUAAUGAUGUUGCUGACAUUGCUAAUGGGCUAGAAAAUGUUGUAAUUACAAUGGUGAAUGAGGUCAAUGAUGAGCGUCCUCUAUUUUUCCGCUACAUACCUCAAAAUGUAGCAUUCCAAAAUGCAUACGUGAAUUUCUCUCUAGCUCGUAUUGGAGAUAACAUUUGCUGUGGUACCUGUUCUGGUGAUUGUCUGUCGCUACCCCAUCCUUGUGCAUGUUCACAUGAAACUGGAGGCGAGUUUGCGUACACCACAGAUGGUCUUGUUCGGGAGGAAUUUCUUAAAGAGUGUAUUUCCAUGAACCGCAACCCGAAAAAACAUUGUCAGUAUUUCUGCAAGGAAUGUCCUUUGGAAAGAUCAAAAUGCGAGGAUGUUAUCGAACCUUGCAAAGGUCAUCUCGUAAGAAAGUUUAUAAAAGAAUGUUGGUGGAAAUGUGGCUGUCAUAAAGAAUGUGGCAACCGGGUGGUACAGCGAGGAAUAACUCGCAAGUUACAGGUAUUACUUUAAUCAGCUGCACUUAAUUUUAUGGAGUUGUUAACAGUCACUUGUUUUUUUUUUUUUUAUAAUUAAUUUGCGUGCUAUUAGGUGUUUAUGACUCCUCAAGGAAAAGGUUGGGGCCUACGUACUCUGGAGGACCUGCCAAAAGGUGCAUUUAUUUGUGAGUACGUUGGAGAAGUUUUGACCAAUGCAGAGCUAUUUGAACGUGUUUUAAAGAGUCCUAAGGGGGAGAAACAUUCAUAUCCCGUGCUUCUUGAUGCUGAUUGGUGUGCAGAAGGAGUGCUGAAAGAUGAAGAAGCUCUUUGCUUAGAUGCUACAUAUUACGGAAAUCUAGCUAGGUUUAUUAACCACAGGUAAGUUCACUUGCGUUAAGAUUAUGCAUUUGCUGCAUUAACAUGGCCAAGGGACGGAACCAGCUAGUUUGGGCUCGUUCACUGUUCCGGAGCCUUUUUUUUUUUUUUUGAAAAGAUUUAAAUGGUUGAAUCAACAAUUCACAACGAUCACUUAACCAUGACCAUUGAUUUGCAACAAUCAUGAGAUCGCGACCGAUCAACUAGAGGCUUUCUAUUUCUGAUUUAAUUGCAGAUUUCUUAAUGUCCUUAUUCUGUUUUCUGAAACCGUGCCAGAUGUUUUGAUUCAAACUUAGUCGAGAUUCCAGUGGAAGUCGAGAAUCCCGAUCACCACUAUUAUCACGUAUGCAAUUACCUCCACUUUUUCUAAGUUUGUCCGACUUCAAGUUUUUUUCUGAUUAUGUAUGAUUGGAUCUUGUCUUUCAGCUCGCAUUCUUCACUACAAGAAAAGUGAAAGCCAUGGAAGAACUCAAUUGGGUAAGUCUGUUUAAAAAAUUUCAAUCAUCUCUCUAAAACUUAGUCGUGCAUUAAAGAAUAAUCCUGGAUCGAGUGUUAUUUUUUUGCUGAGAAGAUAUGUAUAUAUAUAUUACAAUUGAUUUCAGGAUUAUGGCAUUGAUUUUGAUGACCACGAACACCCGAUUAAGGCAUUUCGUUGUCACUGUGGAAGCAAGUCGUGCCGAAAUAUAAAGCGAUCUAGUAAGCGUAAUUACAUCACAGUCCACAUUUUUCGUAAUAAUGCCAUCGAUGCUUCUUAAGUCAUAACCAUCUGAUUUUGUGUCUAUCGUAGGAUCAAGAUCUUCUAGAAGAUGAGCAUGUGUCGAUUCUUCUCCAUCCUCGGCAUCGAAACUUGAAACGAUUCUUCUGUGUUGUACGCUCGUGUAAUUUUUGAGCCAUCGAAAGCGAAAAAAAUGGUUAGAGAAUGAAAUGAUGUAUCAUUGUAUCUUUAUCCCCGAGCUAAUAUAGUUGUAGUACUCAUCUCUGGUUGUUAGCAAAUUUUUUAUGAUGCUCUGAUUUUUCAUUUUACUACCUUACACAUUUGGAUUCGUGCUUGUCAAAUUGUUUUUGUAUUGAUAAAUUCUUAUAACCCAAUUAAUCAAUUUCUUUUUAAUUAUUCCCAUAUUGUAAAUGGAAAUUGUAUUUACCUGAAGUGGACACAAGUUUAGGAGUUAAAACAUAUAUUUAUUUUAGGAAAAAUAUUCAAUAAAACACAACUAAUUAUUUUUUUGUUUUUUUACUAAUUACUCUCUUCGUUGAAUUAAAGUUCGAAUUUAAAGUUGAAUUAUGUUAUAAUUUAAUAAAAGCUUUUAUAAAAAAUAAAGAAUAAAAAAUAAAAGUAAAAAAAAAUAAACAUUCGGUUUAGCUAAGAAGCCCAAUAAAAUUAACACUACUAUCGGGCCUAAUAUCUUUCAGCCCGUAUAAUUAAAUAAGAAUAUUAUUAUCGGGCCUAGUAUCUUUCAUCCCGUAAAUCUGUAAGACCACAAUUAAAUAAAAACCCUAGCCCAAAUUAAAAACAUUUUUUUUAACAGCCGAUAUAAAACCCUAGCUGCUCAUACAGUUUCGGGUGAGAGUAGAGAGGGGUGAAGAUCCUGCGAAAAUGUCGAAGCGAGGUACGUACGGCAGAUCAAUUUCCCAAACUUUGUUCAUUUCUCUUCACAUUUUCCAAAUCGGAAAGUACGAUCCGAAUACGUGGUGUUUAUCUUAUGAUUCUGUGUGAUCGCAGGGCGCGGAGGAUCGGCCGGUAACAAGUUCAGGAUGUCGCUGGGUUUGCCGGUGGCGGCGACGGUGAACUGCGCCGACAACACCGGGGCGAAGAACCUGUACAUCAUUUCAGUGAAGGGGAUCAAGGGUCGCCUGAACAGGCUUCCGUCGGCCUGCGUCGGCGACAUGGUCAUGGCCACCGUGAAGAAGGGAAAGCCUGAGCUCCGUAAGAAGGUCAUGCCCGCCGUCAUCGUCCGCCAGCGCAAGCCGUGGCGCCGAAAGGACGGUGUCUUCAUGUACUUCGAAGGUAGAUUUAAUAUGUUUUUUUGAUUUUUUCAUCUUAUUUCAAUUGUGAAUGCUGUUGUAGAGUAUGAUUAUUGUGUGAACUGUGAUGGUUUGUUUGAUAUGUGCUUAGUUAGCGGUGCUCGUAUCGCUUGCAUUUGGAUCUAUGUGUUAAAUCGUUUAAUUUCUGUCGUCUUAAACAGCUGUUCUAUGUGGUGUUUAUAAAUAUGAUAAUGGGGGCCUGUAAUUUGUAAUACAAUGUUGCAGCCUAUUUUCUUUUCAUAUAUUUCAUAAUCGAUACAUUUCCUAUGAAGCUCGAAAGCUAGAGAUGGUAUUAGUUCAUUUUUAAUUGCCGUCUCGUCAUCAUUUUCUAAUUACCUGCUGUAGAGUUUUUUUAUUAGCUUAGAAUUGAAAUUUUCAUUAUUUACUUAAUCCACGAUCAUCUCUAAACAUAUAGAUACAACGAUAGCAAGACUCGCGUGUGGUCCUUUUGUGGAGAAACUUGUUUUUUGCUAUGUAUCUUACCGAAUGAAUGAUGUUCAAACUUUCUGUCAUUUUAUAGUGCUUAGCAUUUCAGUUAAGUAAUGUAACUUAAACUCUUUUGUGUAUACAGAUAAUGCUGGGGUUAUUGUGAAUCCUAAGGGUGAAAUGAAAGGUAUUAAUCGUAGAUUAACUUCUUUUCGAAAUUAUCGUUAAUGUAUCGUUGUUGAUUUUGUCUUCGAGUUGUGUCUUAUAUUUCUUGCGCUGCUUUUAUUAUAUGAAGGAUCUGCCAUCACCGGUCCUAUUGGAAAGGAGUGUGCUGAUUUGUGGCCUAGGAUUGCAAGUGCCGCCAACGCCAUUGUCUAGACGAGACGUAGAAGUUUGCUGCAAUUCCCUUUAGUUUUGUGCCUGUUUCUGUGAUUUUGAAUCUUUCGACUAUUGAAUGUUGAGGAAUGAAUGCUGUUAUUCUCUAUCAGAUUUUUGUAAGAACUGGGCUCGUUUCUUAUCUGGAUUCGCUUAAUUAUUGUGAUACUGCUUUUUUGACUUCAUAUCCGGAUUACUCUUUAUUCUGAUUGAAGGUGCUCUUAGCUUAUUUAAGUUCUAUGCGAACGAAGUUUGAUGUUACCGUGUGUUGUUUUUUAGUUAUGUCUCCGAUUUUGUCUUGACCAAUGGACUUGGUAAUGAAGUAUCAUAGGACAUAGAUGGUGUAAUAUGACACUUUUGAAAUAUACACGCAACGAAAUUCACUAGGUGUAGCGUCAAAUAUUCGUAUAUUCGUGCAGAGAGGUUGUUAAAUCUCCCCUUUUCAUGCAAGAAUGUGAAUUUCAUCCUAAUUAAAUAAUAUGAUAGAUGAUGAACGAGAUCAAAAUUUUCACAAAAACAAUAAAUAAAUAAAGAAUAAAACUUUCAAAGAUCAUAGAUCCAAAUUUGGAUACAAGUGAAUUUUUUUAUGAACUAAAAUAUGAAAUAUUGAUUUUUGCAAAGAUUAAAUUGCCAUGAAUUUUUAAUUCUCACAAAACAAUUUAAAUCCCGCCAGUUUAUUUCACUACGGGCUUUAGUCCUCUAAUCUAAACAAUUGGGCCGGGCCUUUAGCUAACACGUAACUGAAAAUGGGCCGAGCCCAAAUAUCUGAAAAUUUUCUGAAUAAUGAUUCAUUGCAAGGCGGGAAAAUUCCAGAAACUCUCUCAGUUGGUUAGACUGUAGAUUUGUAAUUGAACAGUAGAAUCGGAAGAGGAGAAUCGGUAUUCGGGUCAAGUAAUUUCUACAUGGGUUGGUCUUACCCUGAAUCAUCCAUGGCAGAUCUGAUAAAAUUGAUUGAAACUUUCAUAGAUAUGUUGAUUUUGGCUUCUGGAUAUCAAUCAAGCGGCCGCCUCGCGCACUGGGACUCCCACAACAUCAUCAAAUGUUUCCAUUGGGCGCUCUUUCUCGAGAAUGUAAGCGGCGGUUCCCGAUUUUUCGUUCGAUUAUAAUUUGUUCUAUGGUUUUGAGUUCUGAUAGAAUAAUCUGGAAUUUGAACGAAGAAAGUUGGAGCUCUAACAUGAUGUUGAUUGUUAAAUUUUUUUUUAAUUUUUUUAAUAUUAGAUUAAUAUUUAUUCAUGUGUUCGAUUAGGUGUCGAAGAAGCUAACAAGUUCGAUUGAUUACGAAGCCUCUGUUAAAGAGCUAGAUGCUGCUUUAUAUGAAUUAACAUGCAAUCCUCAUUUCCCUCAGGUUAAAAGUUUUCUUUGUAGCUCUUUUUAUUUCUUGAUUUAGUUUUUCUUUAAUGUAUUUAGCUGGAUUUUUUAAUGUUUUUUUUAAGCAGGGUCUUGCUCGUUUGUCGUGCAGUACCCUUGGUCGAUCGAGGGAUCUUCUGUUGGAGCAUUUAGUUCUUACUUUACCUCUGAGGGAUUCGCAUUUAAAAGCUAUAAUGAGUGCAUCUGUCGAGAUGGAUUUUAGUAAGAGGCUAGAUAAUGAUUGCGUUGAUGUGUAUGUUGAAAAGUUAAUGCGAAUCCCGUUGAAUGCGCCGAGUUUAAGUGAGAGCGGAAAUUUCGUGGUGGAUUCCAAUAUUCCAUAUCAAGAUGCUGUUAGAAGUGGGAGACGCGACGAUUUAAGUGAUGUGGAGUUUAGCGCGUCGGUUGUUCGGCAACUAGGACGAAGGCAGCUUUCAGUGUCGUGUUCGUCUGCAGUGGAGACUGGUUUGGAAAAACUCUCGAAAAUUAUUGGACAAAGCAUGAAUGAUGAGGUGGAAUGUACCUCGAACACAGAACCAAGAAAACAUUCGGCGUGUCAAAUGUAAUUCCUCAACUUUUUUAAUUUGCGAUGUGGUCGCGCUUCCAUUAUUAAGCCUCCUUUACUGUUCUAGAAGGCAUAAAUGUGGAAAUACGUGAGAACCUAUAUCGAGUUGUCAUUCUCUAAGUUGGCUCUUGAUUGAGGGUAUUGUAAAUUGGGAUUAUACUUGUUGGUUAUUUCCAAUUUACGAGUGAACGUAUCCGAUUCUUGGGUUUAUAGCUGAAAAUUUAAUUACUAUUCAAGCUACCAGCAGCUGGUGUUUGUCGUACUAAUUGCCAGUACAUUUUUCUUUUGAACACUUAAGAUAGCCGUAUAUGCUUUCUUUUCAAUCAGGGAACGAUUGUGUCCGUUUUAAGGUAGGUUUUAAUGCUCGUUUGUUGCUAUUAUAUCUGAAGUGCAGAGGAACUGCCAGUUGAUUCAGUUAUCUGGAGUGGCUGGAGAUCGAAAAGCCUAUCAUAUAUGCUCGACAAGCGUACUAUAAGGCUACUAUCUGGUGCCAGUUUAAUUUUUUCUGCGCCUGAAGAUCAAUGGGCUCAAACGUUUAAAAGACUUGAUACCUCAGCUGAGAACGAUGAUACGUGUGAAAUAAUAGUAAGCCAGGGAAAAAAAAAUUACCUCAAAAAAUUCGAAAGAUUUCCUCAUUUCUCGUAAUAUGCAGUUAUAUUUCUUGUCAUUCGCAGGAGCUAUUGUUAUUAGGAUGUAUUGCAGAUGGAUGGAGUGCUCUAAUUGAACACUUGAUGUCAGUUUCAUACGAUUCCCCUACCGUCUCGAUGCUCUAUCAUCAAGUGUUCAACUUACAGCCAGGAAACUCUGUUAACCUUCCCCUAAAAGGUCUCGUAAAUCCUAAGGUACAUUUUGUUAUUGGAUGCCUUUUUUUCUGGAUGUAUUGGCGAAUAAGAAGUCUGUGGGCUGGAUUUUACUCACUUGCUGGGAAGACGUGCUUCAGUCUGCUGUUUUUAGUGGGACCCACUCUUUACGAGCACUAAAUCUUUUUAAUCGAAGCAUCCCACUUGUUACGGUUUUAUUCAUCUCUUGAGCUGCCUUAUGAUCAGUUCAAUGAUUGUGAUGUACGCUCUCUAGUAAUUAUUGAAAGAUAGAGAUUAUUAGAGUUCUUAUUUUCAACCAUCAACUCUGUCGAUUUAAACCAGGAGAAAAGUGUUGUAGAAUAUUUGGAAGUGUUGCUUAGCAGACAACUCAACCAACUGUGGAAACUAUCACCUGUCCUUGCAGCAGUUGCAAUUCCUUCAUGGUACAUUUACGUUUCUCAAAUUAUUUUACUUCGGCCAAAUGCUUUCCCUUCGCUAAAUUCAUAUUAUAACAUCUUCAUUUGUAUUUCUGGUAUGUACUGUUCGAUUACAGGUCACAGUUGUUCAGAUCCUAUCUUCAUGAGCUUGAGGGUCAAAUUAGAGGAACUUGUACUGCGACGAGGUCUGUCGUUGUAACCUCUCAUUUUUCUGUUAAUAAACAUUAUCUGUGUACGUACGAAUCUUUUUAGCUUUUGUUUAGGUUUUUAUGUUUUCGUUUUUGUGUAGAUAUUGCAGUUGUAGAGUUGAUGCAGCCGAGCAUAUAGUAGAGCACAGGGAAUGUGAGUCUCUUUGUUUUCUCUUCAUAUUUCUCUAUGUUUGUUUUCUUACUUUCAAACUCUGAAUGAAUUGAGCGUCGAACUUGUAAACCGUGACCGGCUUUUCUUGCUCGUACUUGCAGGUGAGGUGGCAGAGAGAAUUUGGUGUCUUUAUAUCUUCCAUGUCAGUAGAUCCCAUGCCACAUCAAGAACAACCACUUUUACUUAGUUUGUUUUGGCCGUUUUUGCUGUAAUUGGUUAGCUUUCGAUUUGUAUAAUCGUUGAUAAAAAAGAUUACGAAGAGGGAAAGUAACAUAAUUUAAUCAGGGUAUUUAGCACUUGUAUAAAGGCGAAAAAGCAGAACAUUACUUCAACUACAUACAGCUGUUAGGUUAAGAAAAAAAUUGAUCAGUACAACAUCGUUGAUGUCUGUUGCAACUUCAAUCUCAGUAAGCAUAAGCUAUAAAAGCACUAGCAAAUAGCAAUGCAUUUUUUUGCCACGGAAAAAAAACAAAACAAGAGGACCGUUUUCAUCUUAUUUUUUUCUCCCAAAAAAAAAAAGAAAAUAAUACCAAAAAACCCAAAAAAUAGUGUUUUGUUUCAACUUCAACUUUUCAAUGCAAAUGCUAUUGAAGAAUAAGAUUAUGACAGAUCUCGUUAAUCUGGUGUAGCAGCACCUUGGUUGAGCUCUGCAAAUCUCAUGCCAACACGCAUGGAAUGCUUCAGGAACUUCUCAGCACAUCUACGAACACAAGUCUCCUCUUGCUUAUCGAGAGAUUUGCGCCGGAACGAGUCCACACAAUCAGUGAAACAUCUUUCCACCAAUGAAUUAUACAUCCUUAAACUGUACAACAAAUUCAAACAUUUCAACACUGCAGUAACUAAAAAUAAAUGAAGAUACAAUCAUUUGCGAUCAAACUGCUACAAGAAUAAAAGUAAAUUCUCAGGUGAAAAAAAGGAACAGAAAGCAGAAGUAAAUCGAGUAGUUUCACAUGAAUAACUAAAAACAUCGUAUCAAGAUUGCUAGAAGAAGAUCAGCCCAUACCACGAUUGUGUAAAUGAAUUAAACAUAUCUAUUUACUUGGUGGUCUAACAAAUCAAGUUAUACAAAGAAAAGACGCAACUAAAAAGAAGAACUACAUAGCCAUAUCCACGUCAAGCUAUCUGAAUAAGAAAGAGGAUUAACAUUUCACCAAAAAUCCAAGUUCGAGAAUUUGCCAGGUGUUCAGGGAUGAGCGUUGUUCAGUUAACAAUCAUUCAUAACUCGUGGCAGCUUUAACUACAGAGGCAUGAAACGCGAAGAAUUAUUCAUACUCUAGGCAACUUUUAUUUCAUCAAUUAGCAAAUCUCGAUUCUCGGUUGUUUCUUUCCCAUUGAUUACCGGCAAAGAACUGCAAUUCUCGGUAUUACACCAGAAAAAAAAAAACAGCUUCUUCUACCGCUUGAAUUACGCAUUAAUCAUGGCAAACUCUAUAGUAAAUACGAUUUCAAUAAAUCAUCAACAGAUACAAAAAAGUGGCAAAACAGAUGAUCCAUCUGUUGAACCAUAAAGCAGGGAAGACUAAUUUUUCCAUUAAAAUCUCAUUAAUUUCAACACAACUUCUACAAAUUUUCAAUUCGAUUAAUGAAAAUCUUCUGAAACACUUAUUUCUCUCACUACGAUUAUCACAGCAUUUUCACGGAAUCAAUGAAUUGAAAAUACGCGCAAACUAUCACAUUUCAGAGCUCAAAAUCAACAAGGUAAUUUUUCGAUGGAUUACCUGUCGCGAACUUGAAGCUGGUCGAUCAUGGCGGACAUACGGAGCUUAUCUUCCUCUGGAAGAGCGUCCAGAUCUCCAAGCAUGCUCUUGUCCAUUUUUGCAGAGGUUUUGUGUGGAAGAAUUGAUGAACAAGGUGUAAAACUAAUUUUGAUCGAAGAGCCUUAAAACCCUAGUUAUUGAAAUAGAGUAGAUUUUACUUACUCAGAAUGGACGGAUACGAUUGGAGGCCGUUCAUAAUGACUCAAGAUAUAUUACUUGUUAAAUAAUUUUUAGAGUUUAUUAUAAAAAAAAAAAAAAAAAAAAAAAAGAAGUAAAUUACGGUCAACCCACGAGGUAAUGUCAAAUUACGAAAAAUCUCCUCAUUUUUGAUUAAUUAUAAUCCCCUAUCAACUAUGAAUCUUCUUACACAUUCACUCGUGUGGUGUCAAAUUUAGUGGAAUAUUAUAGAUUAAAUGGAAUAUUUUCAAGUUUGUAUUAGUUUUAUCCAUUCAAGCUCCACAUUCUGAAACAAGAUGAUUAUAAAAUGUAUUUUUUGAGUUGUAUAUAUCAGAUUGUGGUGCAUCGCAUUUUUGCACCAAGCGAGUACAAACUAGUGAACAUUUAAAACGAAAUUAAGAAGAUUAUGUUGAAUUUGACACCAUAAGUGUGGACGUGAAAGAAAAUCCAUAGUUGAUGGAUAGUUGUAAUUACCCAAACAUGAGCUAUUUUUUCGUAAUUUGACCUUAUCUCAUGAUUGAUUGUAAUUUAUCCUAAAAGAAAUAAUGAGAUUUUAGCUCGUAAAUUUCUUUGUGCUAAUUUCAUAUACUAGAAAGUCUAUAUUAGUAUACUUUCGAGUUUCGACACUGCACUCUUAGUUUUUAGUUUCAGGGGACCUAUAGCUCUCCAUGCGAAAUGUUCGAAAUGUCCCUCACUUUAUAUUAUUAUUCCUACACUUCUUUUUCACUUAAAAAAUACUACCGAACACAGCUUCAGUAUUGUUUAUUUAUUUUAAUAGUGUAGUAUAUAAUAAAUUAAAUUAACUAUUGAGCAUAUAAUAAAUAAAUAAAAGUUAAGGGAACUUGUCCAUUAAUAUUUAUUGCAAUUUUCACUCAAAAAAAAAAAAUUUAUUGCAAUUUAUAUAUACCUAUCAUAGUCAGCACAAAAUUAGAGAAGGGCCAUCUCAAUAUUAUUAAUAGGAGGAAGCAAAUAAAAAGUGGGCCAAUAGAAAAAAAAGAGGUCCAUUGGACCAUCAACAGUGGCUUCACGGUUGCCCUUUUAGCCUGCUCAAAGAGCAUACAAUAUUUAUUAAAAAAAUAAUAUUUAAAUAAUAUCAAUCAUAUCAUAAAAAUUAAAAUAUUUGUCAAUUAUUUUGUCCACACGCACAUCAAUUGGAGGUACUCUCAGUGCCCAAUCAGAAUCCACAAACUAAUGUGGGACCUACACACCCAAAACAUAUAUCAAUGUUUUAGUUCUUUAUUUAUUAAUUUUUUUUCUAUUUUUUUUUACAUAAUUAUUAGUAUUAUUUGGCUGAUUUAAGUUGUAUAAGAAAAUUAUUCCAAAUGACUACAAUUUUCGUAUUUGGUAUUAUUACGUCUCGAUAUAAUGGCUUUGGAAAUUGAAAGAAAAUGCAAAAAACUAGGCAAAAGUCAAGAAAAUUGCAAAUCACAAAUCAAUUAUAAGAAUUUAAAGAGAGGAUUUCAAAUUUAUAUAUUUAUAUAUAAUAAUAAAUGUAUGAAGGUGGUUUGAUAAAUAAUAUUUUGUAAUGAAUACCAAAUCUUUAGCACUCUUUUUUGAAUUAUCGUGAUGAAUUUCAAAUUCGUUGCACUUAGAAUCAUUUAAAAUUUCUUCUCCAAAUAGUUUAAUUCCAAAUUCCUCACAUCAAAAAUACAACCUUAGAUUAAUUAAUCGUUACAUUGAACAAUAUAUUAUAUACUAUUUUAAUUAAAUGAAAGGGGGAUAAAACUACACGCUCCACAGGAAGCGCGUGAGACGGAUAUAUACCCCCCGAGUUAAAAAAAACAUGAAUCGGAUGAAGCCAAACUCAUAUAGAAGACAUCAAAAUAAAGGCGCACUUGUCACCGUACAUUUUUCCCUUUUUGUCCACUCGCCGGUGACGGAACCUCCCUCAAACAGGCCGCGCGUGCCGUUCCAACACAAUUAAUUUAUAGCUCAGCCAUCACGGGAUUGUGGCUGAAUUUCAUGAGUUCGCUUCUGAUUAUAACGUAAGGUGUUUUUAAUUUUGGUUGUUUCUGUUGAAUUUGCUGCAAUUUGUCCAUUUUCAGGGCUUUUUUUUUCUCCAAAAGCUGACUUCGAGUUGAUAAUUGAAUUUUAAUCUCUUAUUUUGAUUAUGAGAAAGUGGUGUUCAUUGGCUGUUAUGAACAUAGGAUUUUUCUUGUUAAUUUCUAAAAAAAACAUUAUUUGAUUGAUUACGGCAGAUAUUUUUGUUUUUUAGGAUUACUGUUGUAUUAUUCUGACGUCAUUUACCCACUGGAUUUGAUCUGCCAAGGCUGUAGACCUAAUUUUUGUUUUUGAGAUUAAUGUAUUUAUCCUUGGUGCAUGGUUUCGGUUCUGCAAUUGAAUCAUCUUUCAUCAUGAGUUUGAGAUGAUAGAUUUUGUUGACUAAUUUUUAUAAACACGUGAUUAGACUAAUAUUGGUUUGUUUGCAAGCACGCCAUCUAGCUUAUCGCAGCUCGUUCUCCGAGUUUUUUUGUCGGUGAUGUACAGCUUAGGUGUUUCCUUUUUUGAAAAAGCUUUGGUAAUAUGUAAGACCUUGUUGUUAUGGUGGAAUGGAGUUCUGGACUUGUAUAAAUGAACAGAUUCCGAUCACGUUAAUAUCGUGCCGUCUGUUCUUUAGUGAUCUUAUUUGCCAAUUGAAAUGUUUUAUUUCACCUUCUAGAUGUGAGGGAUUUUGCCCACCUUCAUGAGGCAUGAAACCUUCAAAUUAUGCUUUGCAAGUUACAUCUGUUACGUCUCUUUAGAUCUGUUGUUCACAGUAUUCAAAAUAGUCUGACAUUGAUAAGUCACAAUUUUCAUUCAUUUUCUUUUAGUAAACGUGGUAUAAAUGUGUUUUUUUAACACUUUGAGAUAUGAAAUCGACGUAUGUUCUUGUGGCUCAGUUAAACAGGUGACUGAAGAAUCUGAGCUGGUUUCUAAUAGCUUAUAUUGAAGUAGGUGUUCACUAAACACAAGCCAAAAAUGGAAGCAAGACCAGCUUUAUCUAUUCAAAGAUCAGGUGGCAGACAGAUUAGUAGCUUUGGGGCCUCUGCAGCACUCUCUCCUUCAUUUCCUGCUCGUCCAGCUGCUCUGCAAGAGUCGUCUCCGAAAUUUUCCGACUCCCAGUACAUUUCCGUAGAGAGGGAACUCAUGCAUCGUCAGCCAGCUCCAUUGUCUUCCAACAAUGGGGUUGUUGGGCAUAUAUUUUCUUCUUCUUCAGGAUUUUCUACCAAUCUUCAUUUUUCAACUAUAGAACAACAAGAGAGACAUCCAAGGCAACCCCCCUUCAUUUCUCAAUCAACAAGUAGCGGGAAGUCGGUUAUGUUAGCACAUCCUGUUGAUUCUCGGGUUCUUCAAUCCACUGCAUCAAGUCAGUUUAACAAAGAAAACAAUGAUUCGUGGUGCACGGAAACAUUGCCCGAUUUUCUUGAUUUUCCAAUGAAUACCACAAUCCUGAAUAAUGAACUAGAUGUUAGUACCAAUGGUGGCAUUCCCGUUCCCUCCGAGGAUCUCGGUAAACCAAGUGAUUGGCAGGAUUGGGCCGAUCAGCUUAUUACUGAUAAUGAUGCUUUGGCUACUGAUUGGAAUGGGAUUCUUGCUGAUGCAACUGUUGCAGAUCCAGCACCAAAGGUAAACUUUUUUUUUUUUUUUUUUUUUUUUUCUGCGUAUGAUAUACUGACUACCGUUCAAUUGAGUCAAUGACAUAAAUUUUCUCUUCUUUUAUCUGUUUUACUGUAGCCAUCGUAUCAGAUUUCUGAACAGUCACCAAAUAUCUCCAUGAAUCAGUCUCAGAUAUCCCUACACCUCCCCGGCACACCUGGAGAAAUUUGUACCAGUGGCGGUCAAUCAUCAUCUGCAAAUGCUGCUCCAGCAAAGCAGCGCAUGCGUUGGACGCCAGAACUUCAUGAGGCAUUUGUCGAAGCAGUCAACAAGCUUGGUGGCAGUGAAAGUAAUUUUAUUUUGCUUGCUUCACUGAUUCAAGUAACCUGAUGUAAAAUCACUGCGCUGCUACUUAACAUCAUUUGUUGUAUCUUUGAUACAGGAGCUACUCCCAAGGGUGUCCUGAAACAAAUGAAAGUUGAUGGGUUGACCAUUUAUCAUGUGAAAAGCCACUUGCAGGUAUGGAAUAUUCUGACCUUUUCCUAAACCUGCAUCGAUUCUCACUCUUCUUAAUACCGAUUUCUGAACUGCAGAAGUAUCGGACGGCUAGAUUCAAACCAGAGACACCAGAAGGUAUACCCUUUUCUUCAUGUUUUGUAACCCAUUCGUUCAUCAUCCAUUUCACAACAGUGAUACUGACGACGGUGCAGUGCUAUAUACAUGUUCUGCCAAUUUUCUUGAAAAUCGAUGAAAUUGCUUGGUAGCCAUUAUUUUUCGUUUCUUUUGUGGUGGUCUGUGACCUAUAAUAAGUACACAUUAGAAUAUGAACUCCAUGUUCUUGUUCUUUGUUUUUUCACUUGGCGAUGACCUCGGAUGCUAGGUUCUACUCUUCUCAAAUAUUCCAUGAAUUAAUGUGCAUAGAAGAGAAUAUUGAUCAUUGCCUAAUGUUUUCUUCUGCAGAAUCUUCAGAGAAAAAACUUGCCUCCAUUGAAGAUUUAUCAUCCUUGGACUUAAAAACGUGAGUUUAAAUGUUCUGUGAUGAAUUCUAAAAACUGAAAUGCUAUGAUUUAUUUCGUUAAAUCACGUCUUGUAAUUGAUGUAUUCUGUUGAGUUGAAACUUUUAGAUGGUAUUACUAUUAACUCUGAUAUCUGUUGACUAGUUUUCAUAGCUCCUUUUUUUUUUUAAUGUUCUAGUUAAAGUCGGAUGGGCAAAUGACCAUAACAAUGAUUGGAUGACUGUUAAAAAGGACCAAAUAUGGUUGCUCGAUUGGAACAUUUUGAAAUUGUCGAAUAUGUCAGCGAAAAAUAUGUUCGCUUUUAAAUAUCUUUGUAUCCCUUUGUUUCUGUUAAUUUCCUAUUGAACCCUGACCAGAUCUUCUGCCUUCUGUUUUGGUAUUGCACGUUUAAUCUUUCAUGUAAAGACACGAACUCUUGUUCUAUUGUCUAGCUUCAUCUGGCGAUGCUGGUCAAAUAUCCUCUUCCUCACUCGCACUUUCCAUUUCGGCAAUCCAAUUGCAUUAAUUUCUUCUAUUGAACGUGAACCUUUGAAAAAAAAUGUAGCUUAAUAUAUUUAUUUUUCCUGUGUUUGGCUGUUUUCUAUGCCAUAUGUUAUUCUUGCUGAUUGUUAUGAGUCUCUGGUUUUAAAACAGGGGUAUUGAGAUCACUGAAGCACUGCGAUUGCAGAUGGAAGUUCAGAAGCGGCUUCAUGAACAACUUGAGGUAUGGUUUUUUUUUUAAGAGAACCGUCUAAAAAUGAAGGAUUUACUAAAUUGAUUUGUUAGCUAGUAGAUGGUAUGUUAUGAAGAGUUAAAACAAAUUUAAAGCAGCCAAUGGUUUUUAAGUCUAGCAUUAUAUUAUUUUGAUACAUUAUAGGAAACCGCAAUUUGCAUACAGCAACUGCCACAGAUAUUGAAGACAAGAAAAAUUAUGUACAAAAGACAUGAUAUAAUUUCUACUUUUGCUAUAUGAUAUUCUCUGGAAUAUUGGAUGUCCCUGUUGCGAAAUUUCUUCCCGAUUAUGAAAUUGUACAAUUUCAACCUCUACUAUUUGAAUGUGAAAUAAGUUUUAAGUUUCUGGAAUGACUUUUAAGCCUUUUUCUGGGGAAUGGCUGGCACUUUUGCAGUGCACUUCAUAUAUUAAUUCGUAAAAAAAAAUAUUAUGCAGAUUCAAAGAAAUCUACAGCUUCGAAUAGAAGAACAGGGGAGAUAUCUUCAGAUGAUGUUCGAGAAGCAGUGCAAGUCAGGAGUUGACUUGAUCAAGGGCGGAGCCUCUUCCACGAGUGAGAACGCUCUUAAAGAGUUGGCAGAUGCAGUGCAAAAUUCUUGCGCCAAAGAUAAUUUACUAGUAGAAGCUGAGAAUAAUGAAACGAAAGGCGAAACUGCCAAAACAUCGGGAGAAACUUCUCAGCUAGUGGGGGAGAAACAAAAAGCAGUCGAGGCUGUAGUUCUUGAAAAUCCCGAGCCGAGUGCUGGUGAAAAAUCUGAGUCACCGCCAACAAAGCGUGCGAAAGUGGACGAGUAAGGUCGUCUUUUUGGUUCCUAUCAAAGACUCUACAGAGAAAACGGUUCACCAGUUCUCGAGUAGGGCUAGAAGAGUAAGCUCACAAAGGAGCUGUGAAAUUCUGUCUUUCCCCUCAAUAUUUUUUCGUUGAUAAGCAAUGUUUGAAUGUUAGAGUGUCACAACUCACAAACUUGUUGAAUUUUCGUUCGAGAUUUGUAGUCUUCUGACGUAGGCAUCGUCACAUGUAUUGUGGAAAAUUUGAUUCGAACAUGACACCCACCUUUCCGGCCCCACCGAAUUCCUCCAUCUUUUGAAGCUUUGUACAAAUGUUUAGAAUCUAUGAUUCAAUAAUUUGGGGAUCUGUGAAAAUUGCGAAAAUUAUGUCUUGUUUGUGAAAUUAUAUAUAGACCAUGUUGUACAAAUGUUUAGAAGUAUAGUUUAUUAGUGAUUAGACCAUGUUCUAGAAACUUACUCCAAGUCUUUUUUUUACUAAAAAUAUAUAGAUACUUCUAUGGAUACUUCUAAUGGAUAAACUAUAGUCGUUGAAUGAAGAUAAAUCAUAAUCAUUGGUUAGAAAUGUCACUUGGCAUAAGAUAAAAGUGUGAGUUACAAUUUUGUAUCCAGCCAAAAAAGAAAAAAAUCUUUUAGCUAGACCGUUGCGCCAUGAAAAAUGGUUUCGAGAAAAUGGUUUCGAGAGCAAGUUAUCGCAUCCUCAAGUGUUGAUGUACCCCGCAACAAUUUCGAAAGAGGGCUGAAAGCUUUAUCCAUCCAUGGUGAGAAAAAAAUGAAUGAGAAAAAAAUGAAGGAGAGGAGAGAUGUAAACAGGGAAAAAAAUGAAGGAGAGGAGAGAUGUAGUGAGGUCGUUUUUGGUUGGGGAAGUUAGUGUGAUUGUGGGUACGGGAGUGUUGGGCAGAGGAGUUGAUCUCUUGUAUGUGAGGCAGGUUAUUGUGUUUGACGUGCCGAAUUCGAUAAAAGAGUAUGUGCAUAUGAUUGGUAGGGCCUCGAGAAUGGGAGAAGAUGGUGCGGCGAUUGUGUUUGUGAACGAGGACGAUAAGAAAAUAUUUCCAGAGUUGGUUGAUAUUCUAGAAUCUUCUGGUGCUGUGAUUCCUCGCGAGCUUGCCAAUUCACGGCAUGCAGUGAGUUCUUUCUCAGUAGUCAGGGCUCAGAAGAAAAGGAAGCAUGGCUAUUGAAGAUACCGUAUCAUUUUUAUUUUUUCCGCUUAUGUAGUUUGUCUGAGAAUGUCUGAAACGACAUCUGUAUAGUGUACUAAAUGAAUAGUUGUAGGUUGAACGUAACUUGAACGACUGUCGGAAUAGUUGUCAAUAUGUACAAGAUUUUGUUGGAUUAAAAUGCCUUGCUCUUGAGGCAAUUUGGAUUUUACUGAAAUAUGUAGUGUUACUUGGUUUUGUUUGUGUCUCAUAUCUUGACCAUGUUUUGGUAUUUUUCACUUAAACAGAUUUGCUUCUCUUGUAAGAAAGAAGAAAGGAGGAAACUACUGAUCCAAACCUUUUUUUUCUUUUUCACAUGUAGAAUGUGUAUGAAAGAAAUAGACAAACCAAUUUACUAAGCAGUUGACUUGGUCAAGGGCGGAGCCUCUUCGGCCGGUGAGAACGCUCUUAAAGAGUUGGCAGAUGC